AUUUUAAAGUCUAACCUGCCCACUGAUAAAAAUUAAAGGGCCGCAGUAUAUUGACUGUGCAAAGGUAGCAUAAUCAUUUGUCUUUUAAUUGAAGACUGGAAUGAAUGGUUGGAUGAAAUAUUAACUGUCUCAUUUUUAAAAGAAUAAAAAUUUAUUUUUUUAGUUAAAAAACUAAAAUAAAUUUAAAAGACGAGAAGACCCUAUAGAUCUUAAUAAUUAAUAAUUAUAUAAGAGAUAGAAUAAAAAUUAUUUUAUAUUUUAUUAUUAUUUUGUUGGGGUGACAGGAAAAUUUAAUUAACUUUUUUUAAUUUAAAAUACAAUGAUUUUUGAGUAUUUGAUCCAGUAUUAUUGAUAAUAAAAUUAAGUUACCUUAGGGAUAACAGCGUAAUUUUUUUAGAGAGUUCUUAUCGAAAAAAAAGUUUGCGACC
Molecule: ribosomal RNA, 428 nt
Filed under: Silveira marshalli
Lineage: Eukaryota; Metazoa; Arthropoda; Insecta; Neuroptera; Psychopsidae
Description: partial 16S ribosomal RNA
Source: RNAcentral